Non-coding RNA from Podarcis lilfordi (Lilford's wall lizard), 74 nucleotides. The record is from the annotation of a GenBank genome assembly. Lineage: Eukaryota; Metazoa; Chordata; Lepidosauria; Squamata; Lacertidae.
UCCUAUUUCUCAGUCGGUAGAGCAUGAGACUCUUAAUCUCAGGAACGUGGGUUCAAGCCCCACACUGAGCAAAA